Molecule: long non-coding RNA, 374 nt
Organism: Oncorhynchus tshawytscha (Chinook salmon)
Lineage: Eukaryota; Metazoa; Chordata; Actinopteri; Salmoniformes; Salmonidae
Source: Ensembl
GUCGGGUAGAUGUCGUUAGGUGUCGGGUAGAGGUCGCUAGGUGUCGCGUUGAGGUCGCUAGGUGUCGGGUAGAGGUCGCUAGGUGUCGGGUAGAGGUCGCUAGGUGUCGGGUAGAGGUCGCUAGGUGUCGGGUAGAGGUCGCUAGGUGUCGGGUUGAGAUCGCUAGGUGUCGGGUUGAGGUCGCUAGGUGUCGGGUUGAGGACGCUAGGUGUUGGGGUGUUAUGUGGUUGAGUUUGUGAGCCUGUUCAUGUUAACAGAGUGUGUGAGCCUGUAGAUGUUGACAGAGUGUGUGUGUUGCAGGGCAGUGUGGGUACUGGGGUGCAGGUGGUCUCAUAACUGUGUGUGUGUGUGAGCCUGUUGAUGUUGACAGAGUG